Molecule: small nuclear RNA, 109 nt
Organism: Suncus etruscus (white-toothed pygmy shrew)
Lineage: Eukaryota; Metazoa; Chordata; Mammalia; Eulipotyphla; Soricidae
Source: RefSeq, a predicted model, not a curated record
AUGCUCACAUUGGUAGCACAUAUACUAAAACUGGAAUGACACAGAGAAGAUUAGGAUGGCCCCUGUGCAUGGUUGACACAUAAAUUCAUAAAACGUUUUAUACAUUUUU